UUGGAUUGAAGGGAGCUCU
Molecule: non-coding RNA, 19 nt
Filed under: Arabidopsis thaliana (thale cress)
Lineage: Eukaryota; Viridiplantae; Streptophyta; Magnoliopsida; Brassicales; Brassicaceae
Also listed under: 1 other name
Source: RNAcentral